RNAcentral lists this ribosomal RNA (429 nucleotides) under Gemmatimonadota bacterium. RNAcentral describes it as "Gemmatimonadetes bacterium partial 16S ribosomal RNA". It matches the Rfam family "Bacterial small subunit ribosomal RNA", at positions 355 to 776 of the family's 1533-position model. The record is from RNAcentral. Lineage: Bacteria; Pseudomonadati; Gemmatimonadota.
UAGGGAAUCUUCGGCAAUGGACGAAAGUCUGACCGAGCAACGCCGCGUGAGUGAAGAAGGUUUUCGGAUCGUAAAACUCUGUUGUUAGAGAAGAACAAGGACGUUAGUAACUGAACGUCCCCUGACGGUAUCUAACCAGAAAGCCACGGAUAACUACGUGCCAGCAGCCGCGGUAAUACGUAGGUGGCAAGCGUUGUCCGGAUUUAUUGGGCGUAAAGCGAGCGCAGGCGGUUUCUUAAGUCUGAUGUGAAAGCCCCCGGCUCAACCGGGGAGGGUCAUUUGAAACUGGGAGACUUGAGUGCAGAAGAGGAGAGUGGAAUUCCAUGUGUAGCGGUGAAAUGCGUAGAUAUAUGGAGGAACAACAGUGGCGAAGGCGGCUCUCUGGUCUGUAACUGACGCUGAGGCUCGAAAGCGUGGUGAGCAAACAGG